GGCUCGGCGUUAGGGAUGGUCGGACGAGACUCGCUUGGAUUUGAGAUUCAGCGAUCUUGCCCAUCCCGACUCUGGGACU
This is a non-coding RNA of Ornithorhynchus anatinus (platypus), 79 nucleotides long. NCBI's taxonomy places the organism in Eukaryota, Metazoa, Chordata, Mammalia, Monotremata, Ornithorhynchidae. The record is from RefSeq and is marked provisional.